GUCUUUGUGUACUCUCAGGUCUAAUCGACAAGCAGGGAGAUUUAAUCAAGCAGACAACAAGAUGUACCUGAUGGUCAGGUGUUGAAAAUCUGCAGAACCACAGAAUGCUGAAUUGUAAGGGACCCAUCAGGACCAUUGAGUCCCACUCCUGGUCCCGCACAGCACCAUUUCCAAAAGUCACACCAUAUGCCUGAGGGUAUCAUCCAAAAGCUUCUUGAGCUUUGUUGCUAUUUCAGUGACUUCCUGAGUGUUACACUGCUUUUCCUCUGGAAAAUCACUGGAAAAUCUAGCAUGGAAAUGUAUUUUCCAGAUGGUAUAUGGAAAGGCAAAAUGUGAUGGUACAGUAUCAGAUUUAAUGAAGAACCAAGUUCUGAUAUCCUGUAACACAAUGUACAUGUGAAAAUUAUGCCUGUCAGACCAAACGCCCACAUUGAGGUGCACAGCUGCAAGCCAAAUUUUCUCCCCAAAAUUCCACAUAACCAGCCAUAUUGCAAUGACAUGCAAACUUCUCUGUUGUGAUGCCCGAAAGAUAGGCUGGAAAUAAAAGCACACAGACUGAUGUCUAUAGAGCAGGUAUUUGUUUAUGCAGUGCUGGAGGGGAGGGAGAUUUCUCCUCCUAACUCACCCACCUGUGUCAAGUGCUGUGCUAUAUUUAUACAGCUGCAGCGACGGCUGGCUUCAAAGGAGAAAGCCAUUGCCCCUUCGGGAUGUCCCUACCAGCUGCAGCCAGCACCACCAGCAGCACUGCUGCACUCUCCUGAACUUUGCUCCAGUCAGCAGGACACCUAAGGCUUUUGCCUUGUGGGAUGAGAAGCAGUGUGGAAAACACAAAAUACAAACCACAGCAGAUGUCUGAACUCGACGAGCUUGCUGAAAGGACAAUUUGUAGGUGUGGUUUCUGUCCAGGAACACUGGACACCAAAGCUGAAAUUCUAACAUAAAAUAGGCACAGCUGCACAGAGGCUUAGAAACAGAGCUAUAAAAUGUAACUCUUCAUCAGCAAUUAAAAAUCUCUGUCAUUCCUAGCUUCCUAGACACCAACAUGGCAUUCCUAGCUUGCCAUAAAGAACAAAGUCAUGGGAAGGGACACCGAUGUUGCUGACUCUUAGCCUGUAGGUACCUGGAUAAACUGGCUGAUGGGGUGGAUUCUCCCAAAGCUGUCAGGACAGAUAAUCAGUGGAAAUGAAGUUACUUCAGAAUGGAGACAUGCAGUGAAGAAGUACAGACCAUGGAGUAUCUAAUUCUCUGUGCAUUUUUGGCAGGUUUGUGUUUUACUGAAGAUUAUUCACAGCCACAUGUUGGGCCCUGUCGUCUGCUGAAUUGGGAUAUGAUGUCUGUAAAGCUGGUGUGAAAAUGAAUCUCUGACUGCAGGAGAGAAACCGCCAAUGCCUUUGUAUCUCACAGAAGAUUACCUGUUUAUUUUGUGAAAUAUCUACCCUCUCUAUACAAAAUAAAAUGUGCAGCACAGAAAAGGGCAUGAAGACUCAAUCUGCUUCUGUAAGAUUGGAAGGCAGCCGCCCCAUUGGCAGAGUGGGCACUGUGCAAGCACCUGAGUAACUCAGAACAGCUCCCUGCAGGCUCAGCUAAGCAGCACCUCUGCUGUGAAGGUAUUUUGCUUUCUGCCAGGAGCAGUGAAUGAACCACUCCAGCUGAGCUGUGAAUUACAGCUCCAGAAUGAGCAAGGAUCCUGCACAACAACAGCACCUGAUCUAAUCUUUCCUUUGCCUCUGUGCUGAAGGAAAGUCAAGGGCAAUCCCAUGGAAAAGCAAUGCUCCCUCUGCUGCUACCCAGCAGUCAGAUCAGAUGAAGUGGGAGUGGAGAGCAGCCUGAGGAGAGUUCUGCAAGGUAAUAGUUAAACACAGAGACUUAAGGCAAUGCCUUUGGAGAGCUGUCUAUGAUUUUGGUACUGUGACAGGGAGUUGAGGUGCCCCAAGAGAACCAGGGCUUGUGAUCACAAGAGUCUAUCUGUCUACAGAGGGACUCAUCCACUCGGUCGCCCUGGUGCGGUGGCCUCUAGCAAACCCCCACAAUGAAGUCACCUGUCCCUGUCCUCCCUUAAUCCUGAUUCAUCAUCUGUUGGACAGCUCCUCAUCCAUCCCUGGGCACAGCUCCAUUCACUCCAGAUGGUCACUGACAUAGAGGGUGACCCCUCCUCAUCUCCCCCCCAGCCCAUGCAAAGGAUUCUGUAUCCUUCCAUUCCACCACUACAGUCCCAGGAGCCACCCCAGCACAUUGUCAUGAUGCCAAGGAGCUGGCAGCCCUGCAGGUGUGCCCAUGCCCAUACACAGGCAGGUAAGUUCGACUCUGAUGAAGGCAAAGUAGUGGCUGGAGUGGCUGGAAUUCCUUUGUGCUGCCAUUCAGGUGCCCUCCUGCUGAUCUGUGAUCCCUCCCCGUGUUCUGGGCAUCUCUUGCUAGCCCUGGCUUUAAACUGAAAGGCUUGAAAUUCCUCUCCCAUAGCAGCUUCAAAUUAAGGCCCUCACCAACUUGGUGAGCCUGUCAUUAAAAUGCCCUCUCUGUGUCAGAAGGACCCCAGCAGUCCCAACAGGUUUCUCCAAGUACAUCCUAUGUAUGUUCAUGACAUUUAUAUAUCCAGCUAUAGCUUUAGCUGUAAGUAAAAAGAAGGAAGUAGCAGAGUCUGAUAAUGGUUUAAAUAAUUGUUGAAAUCAGAAACUAAAACAUGGUUCAAUCAAUUACCAUUUCAUUACAGCUUAAUUAUUAAUUAUUGUUAAAUCGUUGUUGAAUCACCGUUAAAUUAUAAUUGAUUUAUUCCUUAAUCACAAUUUGCAAUUUUUAUCAUUAAAUAUCAUUUGAUUAUUACCUAAUCAUUAAUAACACCUUUUUGUUAUUCCCACAAUGAUGACUUCUCCUAAAGAUUCACCUGUGCCAGUAGAGUUGUGGGUGUAAGAAUGGAGGGAGAGAAAAGGAAACAGAUGUGGUGACAGCUGCUAACGCUGCAGAUGUUGUAGCUUUACUGUUGUUUAUGACUGUGAAGAAUAAAGCACAGGAAUAAGGAAAUAGAAUAUUUGCUUUCCCAAAUCUCUCUGAUGACAAAGCUGUAAAUUUCCAGUUGGGACAGGUCUAUGUAACAAUCAAAAUGCAAAACUGUACAAGACAACAACCAGAGUAUUGUGAUUCAAACCUCUGUUUGAAAGAAAAAUAUUUUGUCAUAUUGAUAAGAAGCACUCCUCUUUGAAGAGACUCGCUACUGUUGUUAAACUACUGAUUUCUCUGUAUUCACCACUUGUGCCUGAGGAAUAUACACCCUCUUCCUCCCCUCCCCCCACAAUGCGUGAACCAGGGUGUUUAUCCUGCACAGGAAGGCGUGGUGAAUGGAAUGCCCUGGUUCUGGGGGAUCCUGGUGAUCUGCUUGAGCCCCAAGGGGAGAAAAUGAGGUAAAUGCAGGAGCUGAAAAAUAAUCUCUGGCACAAUUAGUAAUGCCCUUGUUGGACAGGCAAGAAAUCAGCAGAUUUCACACGUGCAGGAGGGUGUUCCUCCUUGUUCCUCCUGCCUUUUGUGCUUGCAAAUGCUUGCUGAACCUGAGGUGCCCUAAUGGCUGUACAUAAAUUAUUUUCUCAGCGACUGCAAGAGAGAAGCCAGCCCAGGAGCCUGCCUGUACAUCAGCAUAGUUUCCCGUUUUGCUGCAUCACAGCACAACUGCAAUUUCCUCAACAGCCUUUCAUUCUAAAUGUCAGCGACUUCGGCCAUUGGGUUUCUUAGGUGCUCCUCGUUCCCUUCGGGAGAGCUGCCAGGUAGCACAAGGUGACCCGUAAAGCACCGGGAUUAAUAGCAGUUACCUCGGUGGGGAUGGUCAGAGAGGAGAGGGCGUUAGGUAAGAAAAGCUGAUCCCACCUCCGCUCUCUGCCCUCCUUGCAGACACACACCGAGGGCAUUUCAGUGUGCCCAGUGCUCAGCUCCUUGCCCGCAUUUCCAAGCAGAGAGAUUCUGGCCACGCUUCUGCCUCGGGCGAGGGCUCCUCCGCGGGGCACCAAGCUCAGGGCAGAAGCGGGCUGACUUUUCCCCGUUCCCUUAAGAGUUCCACUCACCUCCCCUAAGGGAGGGGCCGUUUCCUGAGGCGCGGCCGGACUCCGGCCACUUGUGCUCGCUCGUCACCGUGCACAGGCAUAUCCCCGGAGCAAGCACAGAAACAUCUCCUCCAUCCCUGCAGGGUUUCUACCUCCCUGCUGGCUCGGGUGCCGCAGCCACAGCAGCCAAGCCCAGCCCUGAGGAGCAGUUGUGGCUGCUCAUCAGCCAUAACUUCGUGGUCCCGCUUUCCCCGGUCUCCCAGCCUCGCUGCACCGCCCGCCCCCUUAUCCCCCACAGGGGAAGGGGAAGCAUCCCCCCAGGGACAGCCCGAUCCCAGCGGGCCAUUUACCCGAUCCGAGCGGGAGAUUUACCCGAUCCGCUGGGCAGCCCCGCACGGCCGCUCCCGCCUCCCUCCCUCCCGCAGCUCCGCUCCCGCCGGGAUCCUGCUCUCGGCGUGUGGCUCACUUCUCUUCCGCGAAUUUCUCUCCUCCCUCUCGGCCGCUGAGGGUGGGAUUAAAGGCAUCAAAGACCAAACAUGUGACUCUGCCAGCACCGGGAUGCUCAAGGAAGGAAGGGAAAGGCAGCUGGCCGGAGGGGGUCACCGCACACCGGGGAGGGGACCGGUCCCUGGAAGCAGGUUCAGGAGUCAAUCCCGAGCCCCAGGGGCGGAGGCAGCUGCGCAGCGGGAGCUCCUCAUUCCCGCGCUGCGGUCCCCGAACGCUCCAUCAGGAGCGGAGGGACAGCCGCAGGGGAAGCGCAGCUCGCCCAGCGCUCCCCAGCUGGGUGUCACAUCUGCCCGGUGGCACCACGGCCGCGUGUCACCUUUAGUGGGUGUCACUUCUGCCGGGUGUCCCCUCUGCCCGAUGCCACUUCUGCCAGGUGUCCGCGCCAGCUCCCGUGCCUCUGGGGCACUGCCCUCCGCCGCUGGCACCUGCUGGAUGCUCCGGACCUCUCGCCUCACUCCUGGGCACCAGGACGUUCUUUAUGUACGUGUCACCCCUGGCAGGUAAAAGCUUUCUCAGUCUGCAGCGAAGACUUCACAGGACUAUUGGCUGAAGUGGGGAGGCUCAUCAGCUACGCAAAGAUUUACACCAGGCUGUUCAAGAUUCAAACAUUUUAACAAACUGCUCCAAGACUGCCUCUGACCGGUUCACUCUCCCUCCCUGCCACCCCCCCCGGGCCUUUUCUCUGUGUUCCUGUACACACACACCCUUCAGCUCCGUGGCCAUAAGGUCUAAUUAACUGAUUACCUGAAAGAUGCUUCAGGGAAAGUUUACUGUCUGUCAUUGUAGGAACUCUUUGGGUUUAUGCCUGCAGCUCCAGAAAAUGCAAGUGCAUGUAUUUGGGCUAAACUAUUUUUAGGCUCAGACCUCUCUUAUAUCUUAGAAGAA
Passer domesticus (house sparrow) is the source of this 5414-nucleotide long non-coding RNA. RefSeq lists it as uncharacterized. The transcript is spliced from 4 exons. The record is from RefSeq and is a predicted model, not a curated record. NCBI's taxonomy places the organism in Eukaryota, Metazoa, Chordata, Aves, Passeriformes, Passeridae.